UACGUAGGGGGCAAGCGUUAUCCGGAUUUACUGGGUGUAAAGGGGGCGCAGACGGCAAUGCAAGCCAGGAGUGAAAGCCCGGGGCCCAACCCCGGGACUGCUUUGGAAACUGUAUAACUGGAGUGCAGGAGAGGUAAGUGGAAUUCCUAGUGUAGCGGUGAAAUGCGUAGAUAUUAGGAGGAACACCAGUGGCGAAGGCGGCUUACUGGACUGUAACUGACGUUGAGGCUCGAAAGCGUGGGGAGCAAACAGG
Molecule: ribosomal RNA, 253 nt
Filed under: uncultured Lachnospiraceae bacterium
Lineage: Bacteria; Bacillati; Bacillota; Clostridia; Lachnospirales; Lachnospiraceae
Description: partial 16S ribosomal RNA
Rfam family: Bacterial small subunit ribosomal RNA
Source: RNAcentral